GGUUGUGGCUCAGUGGUAGAGCGCUCGCCUCGAAUAUGUGAGGCCUUGGGUUCAAUCUUCAGCAUCA
Molecule: transfer RNA, 67 nt
Filed under: Marmota monax (woodchuck)
Lineage: Eukaryota; Metazoa; Chordata; Mammalia; Rodentia; Sciuridae
Description: tRNA.Ser
Source: RNAcentral